This 105-nucleotide ribosomal RNA is filed under the name Lactobacillus gasseri. Its description in RNAcentral is "partial 23S ribosomal RNA". It matches the Rfam family "Bacterial large subunit ribosomal RNA", at positions 1 to 104 of the family's 2925-position model. Lineage: Bacteria; Bacillati; Bacillota; Bacilli; Lactobacillales; Lactobacillaceae. The record is from RNAcentral.
AGGUCAAGUAGAAAAGGGCGCAUGGUGAAUGCCUAGGCACUAGAAGCCGAUGAAGGACGUGACGAACCACGAAAGGCUUCGGGGAGCAGUAAGUAAGCAAUGAUC